UGCGUAGGCGGUCCGGGAAGUUGGGUGUGAAAGCCCUCGGCUCAACCGAGGAAUUGCGCCCAAAACUGCCGGGCUCGAGGGAGACAUAGGUGAGCGGAACUUAGGGUGGAGCGGUGAAAUGCGUUGAGAUCCUAAGGAACACCAGUAGCGAAAGCGGCUCACUGGGUCUCUUCUGACGCUGAAGCACGAAAGCUAGGGGAGCGAAGAG
RNAcentral lists this ribosomal RNA (208 nucleotides) under uncultured bacterium. RNAcentral's name for it is "partial 16S ribosomal RNA". It matches the Rfam family "Bacterial small subunit ribosomal RNA", at positions 568 to 775 of the family's 1533-position model. The record is from RNAcentral.